RNAcentral lists this ribosomal RNA (326 nucleotides) under uncultured bacterium. Its description in RNAcentral is "bacterial SSU rRNA". It matches the Rfam family "Bacterial small subunit ribosomal RNA", at positions 28 to 334 of the family's 1533-position model. The record is from RNAcentral.
GAUGAACGCUGGCGGCGUGCUUAACACAUGCAAGUCGAGCGAAGCAUUUGCAGUUGAUUUCUUCGGAAUGAUUCUGUUUAUGACUGAGCGGCGACGGGUGAAGUAACGCGUGGGGAACCUGCCUCAUACAGGGGGAUAACAGUUAGAAAUGACUGCUAAUACCGCAUAAGCGCACAGUGCCGCAUGGCGCCGUGUGAAAAACUCCGGUGGUAUGAGAUGGACCCGCGUCUGAUUAGCUGGUUGGUGGGGUAACGGCCCACCAAGGCGACGAUCAGUAGCCGGACUGAGAGGUUGGCCGGCCACAUUGGGACUGAGACACGGCCCAG